This 456-nucleotide ribosomal RNA is filed under the name Selenomonas sp. oral taxon E83. RNAcentral describes it as "bacterial SSU rRNA". It matches the Rfam family "Bacterial small subunit ribosomal RNA", at positions 28 to 465 of the family's 1533-position model. Lineage: Bacteria; Bacillati; Bacillota; Negativicutes; Selenomonadales; Selenomonadaceae. The record is from RNAcentral.
GACGAACGCUGGCGGCGUGCUCAACACAUGCAAGUCGAACGGAGCGAAUGAAAGCUUGCUUUUAUGAGCUUAGUGGCAAACGGGUGAGUAACACGUAGACAACCUGCCGAUAGGAUGGGGACAACAUUCCGAAAGGAAUGCUAAUACCGAAUGGCGUGUAGGGGAGGCAUCUCCCCUAUAUGAAAGAUGGCCUCUGAAUAUGCUAUCACCUAUCGAUGGGUCUGCGUCUGAUUAGCUGGUAGGUAAGGUAACGGCUUACCUAGGCGACGAUCAGUAGCCGGUCUGAGAGGAUGAACGGCCACAUUGGGACUGAGACACGGCCCAGACUCCUACGGGAGGCAGCAGUGGGGAAUCUUCCGCAAUGGGCGCAAGCCUGACGGAGCAACGCCGCGUGAGUGAAGAAGGUCUUCGGAUCGUAAAGCUCUGUUGAAGGGGACGAACGUACGCAGUGCGAAU